This 259-nucleotide ribosomal RNA is filed under the name uncultured bacterium. RNAcentral describes it as "partial 16S ribosomal RNA". It matches the Rfam family "Bacterial small subunit ribosomal RNA", at positions 524 to 782 of the family's 1533-position model. The record is from RNAcentral.
UACAGAGACUGCAAGCGUUUAUUCGGAUUCACUGGGCGUAAAGGGUGCGCAGGUGGCCAAGUGUGUUAGGCGUGAAAGCCCGGGGCUUAACCCCGGAAUUGCACCUAAAACUAACAUGGCUAGAGCAUUGGAGAGGGGAGCAGAAUUCACGGUGUAGCAGUGAAAUGCGUAGAUAUCGUGAGGAAUACCAGAGGCGAAGGCGGCUCCCUGGACAAUUGCUGACACUCAGGCACGAAAGCGUGGGGAGCAAAAGGGUAGU